UCCUGGUGGCUCAGAAGGUAAAGAAUCUGCCUGCAAUGCAGGACAUCCAGGUUUGACCCCUGGGUCAGGAA
Molecule: transfer RNA, 71 nt
Filed under: Bos taurus (domestic cattle)
Lineage: Eukaryota; Metazoa; Chordata; Mammalia; Artiodactyla; Bovidae
Also listed under: 1 other name
Rfam family: tRNA
About the family: Transfer RNA (tRNA) molecules are approximately 80 nucleotides in length. Their secondary structure includes four short double-helical elements and three loops (D, anti-codon, and T loops).
Source: Rfam by way of RNAcentral